GUAGGUGAACCUGCGGAAGGAUCAUUAACGAUUCGACCCUCUUCUGGGUCAUAUUCUUUGGCUGUGCGCCUCACGCUGCACGCCGUUGAAAACCUCCCACACCAUGUGCACCUUUCGGUCGCGUUUUCCGGCGCUUCCGCUUUUUUACAUCCAACCACAGUCUCGAAUGUCUUUACUCAAUAACGAAAUAACAACUUUCAACAACGGAUCUCUUGGCUCUCGCAUCGAUGAAGAACGCAGCAUCUGACUG
RNAcentral lists this unclassified non-coding RNA (250 nucleotides) under plant metagenome. Its description in RNAcentral is "partial contains small subunit ribosomal RNA, internal transcribed spacer 1, and 5.8S ribosomal RNA". The stretch from base 193 to 250 matches the Rfam family "5.8S ribosomal RNA", at positions 1 to 55 of the family's 154-position model. The record is from RNAcentral.